RNAcentral lists this ribosomal RNA (254 nucleotides) under uncultured bacterium. Its description in RNAcentral is "partial 16S ribosomal RNA". It matches the Rfam family "Bacterial small subunit ribosomal RNA", at positions 524 to 776 of the family's 1533-position model. The record is from RNAcentral.
UACGGAGGGGGCUAGCGUUGUCCGGAAUUACUGGGCGUAAAGAGCUCGUAGGUGGUUUGUCGCGUUGUCCGUGAAAACUCACAACUCAAUUGUGGGCGUGCGGGCGAUACGGGCAGACUGGAGUACUGCAGGGGGAGACUGGAAUUCCUGGUGUAGCGGUGGAAUGCGCAGAUAUCAGGAGGAACACCGGUGGCGAAGGCGGGUCUCUGGGCAGUAACUGACGCUGAGGAGCGAAAGCGUGGGGAGCGAACAGG